AUGUAUAACAUUGAGCGUUUUUCAGAACAGAAUCACUUCCCCGUUCAGAACCUCCCCGUCGGAUCCUCCAAAGGAGAUCGUUCUUCAGAACACAGUCACUUUUCCAUUGGAUCCUCUAAAGGAAUUGAUGAUCAUGCUUCAUCUAUAUCACUGGCCCAACUUUCAAAGUCUGAAGGAGACGUACACUUGCUGCUGCUUACACUCGUACGUUACACACACACACACACACACACACUCGUACGUUACACACACACACACACACACUCGUUCGUUACACACACACACACACACACACACACACACACACACUCGUUCGUUACACACACACACUCAUACGUUACACACACACACACUCGUCCCCGAACACACAUCCUGAAGAAUGAAGUGUUCGCCUCGUUUUUUUCCCUUCUCUCUCUAAAUGAAGACUCAACGGGUUGUCUUUGUUUGUUUUGCUCAUACGUGACCUUUCACCCCUAGGACACUAAUUUAUAAACAAACCUGUUAUCAAUCUUGCUUUCAAAUCUUAUUGAAGCCCAUGUAACAACUUUUAAAAAAACAUUUCAACAAUCCUCUCUACUGCACCAUGCUUUGUCAGCACACUGUGUUUUUGAAGAGAUUUACUUCAUAUAUAUAUACACAUUUAGCAGAUGUAAUUUAUCCUCAAAUAUGUCGUUUGCUGAAGUAAAACACAAACCUACAGUGUGAACCACGGACGUGAUUCUUGGUUGAACCCUUCUGUUGUUGUGAUGGAACUGAUUUUGUUAUUGUUGGUUAUAUAUAUUUAUUUAUACCUUGUGACGUUCAACCAGAGAACAGCAUUUACUACUUUUAAUGGUGUUAACAGGCUGUGAUGACAGUGAGCUGUUAAAAGGACUGUGUUUUGAUUGGGUAGCUGGAAUGUGGGAGUGUGAAUGUUUUAUCCAAUAAAACGUCUCUUAGACCCCUGACCGUUUAUGCGUGUAGCUGUGAUUGGGUAGCUGGAAUGUGGGAGUGUGAAUGUUUAAUUUAAAUGUGUUGUUUUAUCCAAUAAAACGUCUCUUAGACGAAGGAUAAUAUCUGUUUUCUCCCCCAGUGGAUUUACACUUCCUGUCCUUUUUCUAAAAUAAUUUUUUAUUU
RNAcentral lists this long non-coding RNA (1116 nucleotides) under Oncorhynchus kisutch (coho salmon). RNAcentral describes it as "lncRNA (ENSOKIG00005043772.1)". Lineage: Eukaryota; Metazoa; Chordata; Actinopteri; Salmoniformes; Salmonidae. The record is from RNAcentral.